Molecule: long non-coding RNA, 2394 nt
Filed under: Callithrix jacchus (white-tufted-ear marmoset)
Lineage: Eukaryota; Metazoa; Chordata; Mammalia; Primates; Cebidae
Description: lncRNA (ENSCJAG00000080655.1)
Source: RNAcentral
AUCACCUGAGGUCAGGAGUUCAAGACAAGCCUGGCCGACAUGGCGAAACCCUGUGUCUACUAAAAAUACAAAAAUUAGCUGGGUGUGGUGGCGUGCACCUGUAGUCCCAGCUACUCUGGAAGCUGAGGCAGGAGAAUCACUUGAACCUGGGAGGCAGAUGCUGCAGUGAGCCAAGAUCACAACACUGCACUCCAGCCUGGGCAACAAGAGUGAAACUUCGUCUCAAAAAAAAAAAAAGGAAUACCUGAGGCUGAGACCGAAUCGUUUAUAAAGAAAAGAGGUUCAUUUGGCUCACGAUUCUGAAGUCUGUACACAUAGCAUGGUCCUGGCAUUUGCUUCUGGUGAGGCCUCGAGAAGCUUACAGUCACAUCAGGCAAUGGGAGUCAGCAUGUCACAUGGCAAGAGAGCAAGGUGGGGGGUGUGCCACAUUCUUUUAAACAAUCUCACUUAAACUCAGAGUGAGAACUCACUCAUUACUGUGAGGAGGGCACCAAGACAUUCAUGAGGGAUCCACCCUCAUGAUCCAAACACCUCCCAUGAGGCCCCACCUCUAACAUUGGGGAUUACAUUUCAACAUGAAAUUUGGAGGGGACACGCAUUCAAACCAUAUCACUCAUCUAUCAGAAAAGUAAAAUAAAAUUUACAAAGAAAAGAAAGAUCAACCCAGUCUGGGAAAGUCAGGGAAGCCAUCAUGGAAGUGGAUGACCUAAACAAAAUCUGGCUGAGUAUGAAUCCGUUGAUGAAUGGGAUAAGGAGGGAACUGGUUAGGGGAACAUUUCACAUGAAUAUUAUCACAUAAAUCAACACUGUUAGCAUGGGUGUACUCCUUAGUGUUUCUUGAAGAGAAAUGUGGUUGGAGUCCAUUUUGCACUAUUAUAAAAGAAUAUCUGAGACUGGGUAACUUAGAAAGAAAAUAGAUUUUUUUGUUUUGUUUGCUUUUGAGAUGGAGUCUCAUUCCGUCACCUAGUGGCAUGCUCUUGGCUCACUGCAACCUCUGCUUCCCGGGUGGUGAUUCUCCUGCCUCUGCUUCCCGGGUUCAAGUGAUUCUCCUGCCUCAGCCCCCUGAGUAUCCAGGAUUACAGAUCCAGUGUCAUGGCCCAGUAAUGAAGGCAGUCGAUUUUCAAGAAAAUGGCAAUGGCUCAUCAGAAAUUGAAGACCUAAUGGAUCUCUCUUUCAUGAUCUCUUCCAACUCACUGUGAAAGCUGGAUUCCCAAGGAUUUAACCCCACAGACAAACUCAGGAAGGAGCCAUCUCCUAGAAAUGCAGACAGACAGCUUGUCCCCAGACAGAGGGAGUCAUCACCAGCCUCUAAUAACUGCUUGUCUUGCCAGGAAGACGGGCAAGCCAGGGCAAGGCCACAGCCUGCAGCAUCUGUGUCCGAUUCACUCUCCUCAGUAAGCAAACUUUUGUACCCUCAGAGUAGGGUAGGGUGAGGCAGAACCUUUUCAUAGGCUCCAACCCAGCAGGAGUCCUUCUUUUUUUUUUUUUGAGACGGAGUUUCGCUCUUGUUACCCAGGCUGGAGUGCAAUGGUGCGAUCUCGGCUCACCACAACCUCUGCCUCCUGGGUUCAGGCAAUUCUCCUGCCUCAGCCUCCUGAGUAGCUGGGAUUACAGGAACGCGCCACCAUGCCCAGCUAAUUUUUUGCAUUUUUAGUAGAGACGGGUUUUCACCAUGUUGACCAGGAUGGUCUCGAUGUCUUGACCUCAUGAUCCACCCGCCUUGGCCUCCCAAAGUGCUGGGAUUACAGGCGUGAGCCACCGCGCCUGGCCAGGAGUCCUUCUUGAAUGCUACCUUCCAUAUGUGGAGCACAACAGGUUCUUUGCAAGAACACCAGUCAUCCCAGCUCACUUGUAUUUCCUGUAUUCUCAUAUUGCCCACAAGUACCUGAACUGCACCCCCCUGCCCCUCCCAGCCAUUCCACUGCAAGCACAAGCUACUUCCAACUGACCUGUCCAGGAAUCCCACUUCCAUGGUUGGAGUUGGAAUGGCAUCUGGAACCGCUGUGAAGUCAGGAAAGAUGACUCUCCACAGUUUUAAAAUGAGUGUGAGUUGUCUUGGAGAGCAGAGUUGGAUCCAUUUGUGCAUGAGACAAUGAGCUAUGGCUUUUUCCCAGGGUGUGAAGAUGUUUGUUUUGUUUAUUUCUUAUGGCUUAUAUACUUGAACAGGAUUGAGUUUUGAAAAAGCGAGUUCCCCAACUUGAAGAUAUUUUAAGAUUGUUAUGAUUUUAGAGCUAAGUGGAGCUUUAUGUGAAUGACUCUGGCCUCCUUGUAGUUGGAAAAUUUAUGUGAUGGCAGCCUUCAUUCGAGGAAUGAGAGCUAAAGACAAAACCUGGCAAGCCUCCUUGUCCAAGGAAGAAGAGUGGUGGGCUCACAGAAAUGAUUGGUCCGUCUUUU